GUUGGAAGCUUAUAAAGAGGCUGUUGCUUAAUUUGUCAGGUCCGAAAGGAAGCAGCAAGGGUAAUAAGUGCUUGUAUAAGCUUCCUUUUUU
RNAcentral lists this signal recognition particle RNA (91 nucleotides) under Candidatus Babelota bacterium. RNAcentral describes it as "signal recognition particle sRNA small type". It matches the Rfam family "Bacterial small signal recognition particle RNA". Rfam says of the family: The signal recognition particle (SRP) is a universally conserved ribonucleoprotein involved in the co-translational targeting of proteins to membranes. Archaeal SRP consists of a 7S RNA and homologues of the eukaryotic SRP19 and SRP54 proteins. The record is from RNAcentral.